RNAcentral lists this ribosomal RNA (389 nucleotides) under uncultured bacterium. RNAcentral describes it as "bacterial SSU rRNA". It matches the Rfam family "Bacterial small subunit ribosomal RNA", at positions 775 to 1159 of the family's 1533-position model. The record is from RNAcentral.
GGAUUAGAAACCCGGGUAGUCCACGCCGUAAACUAUGCAUGCUAGACGUUGGAGGCCUUAGGUCUCUUGUGUCGUAGCUAACGCACUAAGCAUGCCGCCUGGGGAGUACGGCCGCAAGGUUGAAACUCAAAUGAAUUGACGGGGGCCCGCACAAGCGGUGGAGUAUGUGGUUUAAUUCGACGCAACGCGAAGAACCUUACCAACCUUUGACAUGGGAAGUAUGGAUUUGAGAGAUCAGAUCCUUCAGUUCGGCUGGCUUCCACACAGGUGCUGCAUGGCUGUCGUCAGCUCGUGUCGUGAGAUGUUGGGUUAAGUCCCGCAACGAGCGCAACCCUCAUCUUCAGUUGCCCCCAGGUAAGGCUGGGCACUCUGAAGAAACCGCCGGUGAC